Molecule: transfer RNA, 86 nt
Filed under: Bacteriophage sp.
Description: tRNA-Tyr
Rfam family: tRNA
About the family: Transfer RNA (tRNA) molecules are approximately 80 nucleotides in length. Their secondary structure includes four short double-helical elements and three loops (D, anti-codon, and T loops). Further hydrogen bonds mediate the characteristic L-shaped molecular structure. tRNAs have two regions of fundamental functional importance: the anti-codon, which is responsible for specific mRNA codon recognition, and the 3' end, to which the tRNAs corresponding amino acid is attached (by aminoacyl-tRNA synthetases). tRNAs cope with the degeneracy of the genetic code in two manners: having more than one tRNA (with a specific anti-codon) for a particular amino acid; and 'wobble' base-pairing, i.e. permitting non-standard base-pairing at the 3rd anti-codon position.
Source: RNAcentral
GGUAAAGUACCCAAGUUGGACAAAGGGAGCAGACUGUAAAUCUGUCGCUUUUAGCUUCGAAGGUUCGAAUCCUUCCUUUACCACCA